AUUGAACGCUGGCGGCAGGCCUACCACAUGCAAGUCGAGCGAGCGGCGGACGGGUGAGUAAUGUCUGGGAAACUGCCUGCUGGAGGGGGAUAACUACUGGAAACGGUAGCUAAUACCGCAUACCAUCAGAUGUGCCCAGAGGGGAUUCGCUAGUGGGUGGGGUAAUGGCUCACCUAGGCGACGAUCCCUAGCUGGUCUGAGAGGAUGACCAGCACAACUGGAACUGAGACACGGCCCAGACUCCUACGGGAGGCAGCAUUGGGGAAUAUUGCACAAUGGGCGAAAGCCUGAUGCAGCCAUGCCGCGUGAGUGAAGAAGGCCUUCGGGUUGUAAAGCACUUUCAUCGGGGAGGCGUUACCCGCAGAAGAAGCACCGGCUAACUCCGUGCCAGCAGCCGCGGUAAUUC
RNAcentral lists this ribosomal RNA (406 nucleotides) under uncultured bacterium. Its description in RNAcentral is "partial 16S ribosomal RNA". It matches the Rfam family "Bacterial small subunit ribosomal RNA", at positions 30 to 526 of the family's 1533-position model. The record is from RNAcentral.